AACCCGGAGAACUGAAACAUCUAAGUACCCGGAGGAGAAGAAAACAAAAGUGAUUCCGUUAGUAGUGGCGAGCGAACGCGGAUUAGCCCAAACCAAUAUUGUUAAGGCAAUAUUGGGGUUGUAGGACUGCAAUAAUUGAACUGUAAUGAAUUAGAAUAGUUUGGAAAAACUAACCAAAGAGGGUGAUAGUCCCGUAUAAGUAAAGAACAGUAAGAUAGCAGUAUCCUGAGUAGUGCGGGACACGAGUAAUCCUGUGUGAAUCAGUCGGGACCAUCCGAUAAGGCUAAAUACUCCUGAGAGACCGAUAGUGAACUAGUACCGUGAGGGAAAGGUGA
Molecule: ribosomal RNA, 335 nt
Filed under: Pseudopedinella elastica
Lineage: Eukaryota; Dictyochophyceae; Pedinellales
Description: partial Bacterial large subunit ribosomal RNA
Rfam family: Bacterial large subunit ribosomal RNA
Source: RNAcentral